AUUGAACGCUGGCGGAAUGCUUUACACAUGCAAGUCGAACGGUAGAGGGGGCAACCCCUCGAGAGUGGCGAACGGGUGAGUAAUAUAUCGGAACGUGCCCAGUCGUGGGGGAUAACGUAGCGAAAGUUACGCUAAUACCGCAUACGGUCUAAGGAUGAAAGCGGGGGAUCGCAAGACCUCGCGCGAUUGGAGCGGCCGAUAUCAGAUUAGGUAGUUGGUGGGGUAAAGGCUCACCAAGCCAACGAUCUGUAGCUGGUCUGAGAGGACGACCAGCUACACUGGAACUGAGAGACGGUCCAGACUCCUACGGGAGGCAGCAGUGGGGAAUUUUGGACAAUGGACGCAAGUCUGAUCCAGCCAUUCCGCGUGCAGGAUGAAGGCCCUCGGGUUGUAAACUGCUUUUGUACGGAACGAAAAGGUCUCUCUUAAUACGGGGGACUCAUGACGGUACCGUAAGAAUAAGCACCGGCUAACUACGUGCCAGCCGCCGCCGUAA
Molecule: ribosomal RNA, 496 nt
Filed under: uncultured bacterium
Lineage: Bacteria
Description: partial 16S ribosomal RNA
Rfam family: Bacterial small subunit ribosomal RNA
Source: RNAcentral